GGUGGUUGCAGAGUUUGGAGCCAUUUUGGGUAGCUGAUCUUGCAUUUUCUACGACUCUUCUUGGUCAGUUUCUAGAAGACAUGGAAGCAUAUGCUGAGGACCUCAGCCAUGUGGCCUCUGGGGAAUCAGUGGAUGAAGACGUCCCUCCUCCAUCAGUGUCAUUACCAAAGCUGGCUGCGCUUCUCCGGGUAUUUAGUACUGUGCUGAGGAGCAUUGGGGAACGCUUCAGCCCAAUUCGGGUCCUCCAAUUACUGAGGCAUACGUAACAGUUGUUCUGUACAGAGUAAUGAGAUGUGUGACGGCUGCAAACCAGGUGUUUUUUUCUGAGGCUGUGUUGACAGCUGCUAAUGAGUGUGUUGGUGUUUUGCUCGGCAGCUUGGAUCCUAGCAUGACUAUACAUUGUGACAUGGUCAUUACAUAUGGAUUAGACCAACUGGAGAAUUGCCAGACUUGUGGUACCGAUUAUAUCAUCUCAGUCUUGAAUUUACUCACGCUGAUUGUUGAACAGAUAAAUACGAAACUGCCAUCAUCAUUUGUAGAAAAACUGUUUAUACCAUCAUCUAAACUACUAUUCUUGCGUUAUCAUAAAGAAAAAGGGGUUGUUGCUGUAGCCCAUGCUGUUUAUCAAGCGAUGCUCAGCUUGAAGAAUAUUCCUGUUUUGGAGACUGCCUAUAAGUUAAUAUUGGGAGAAAUGACUUGUGCCCUAAACAACCUCCUGCACAGUCUGCAACUUCCUGAGGCCUGUUCUGAAAUAAAACAUGAGGCUUUUAAGAAUCAUGUGUUCAAUGUAGACAAUGCAAAAUUUGUAGUUAAAUUUGACCUCAGUGCCCUGACUACAAUUGGAAAUGCCAAAAACUCGAGUCUUUAAUUGUAAUGACUUUGUUUUAUCCACAGUUAAGCCUUUUCUCAUUACAUAUUUAUGUAUUUCACUGUCAUGUCAACAUGUCUGCAGAAUCACUGUAUGUAACAAACAGCCAUAUUUAAGACAUGCCUGGAUAAAUAAAAUUGGUAGGAAUGUUUUCUUGCCAUUAUAUUUAACUUUUCUUCUUUUUCCUUGACAAAUCUUGAUAAGUUUUUUUAUAUUAGUUUUAUUUUCUAGAAAACGUCUUAUGAAUUUCUCCUAUUUGCUCUAGCAUGCUUACAGAAAAUGUCAGUGUUUCUUACAGCUCAAAUUUGUAUAGUUGUUUUAAAAUGCGGUCUCUUUCUUCUUCCCCUGAUACUUUUUUCUUUCUGUCUACUGAAGUUAGUUCUUAUACAUGGUCUUAUAUUCUGGCUGUCUCUUUUUACCUAGGAACAUUCAUACAGGUUGAAUAUUCCUUAUCUGAAAUACUUGGGACUGGAAGUGUUUUGGAUUUUGGAUUUUGGAAUACUUUUUUUUUUUUGGAGAUAGUGUUUUACUCUUGUUGCCCAGGCUGGAGUGCAAUGGCGCAAUCUUGGCUCGCUGCAACCUCCGCCUCCCGGGUACAAGCGAUUCUCCUGUUUCAGCCUCCCAAGUAGCUCGGAUUACAGGCAUGCACCACCACGCCUGGCUAAUUUUUUUGUAUUUAGUAGAGAUGGGUUUUCACCAUGUUAGCCAGGCUGGUUGUGAACUCCUGACCUCAGGUGAUCCACCUGCCUUGGCCUCCCAAAAUGCCGGGAUUACAGGUGGGCACCACCAUGCCCAGCCGGAUUUUGGAAUAUUUUCAUAACACUUACUGGUGAGCAUCCCUAAUCUGAAAAUCCUAAAUCUAAAAUGCUCCAAAAUUUGAAACUUUUUGAGCACCAGUAUGAUCCCCCAAGUGGAAAAUCCCACACCCGACCUCAUGCAAUGAGUCCAAACUGUUGUAUGCACAAAAUUAUUUAAAAUAUUGCAUAAAAUGACCUUCAGGCUAUGAAUAGAAGGUGUCUAUGAAACAUAAGUGAAUUUCGUGUUUAGACUUGGGUCGCAUCCCCCACAUAUCUCAUUUUAUAUAUGUGCAAGUAUUCUCAAAUCCAAACAUAUACAAAGUCUGAAACACUUCUGGUCCCAAGCAUUUUGAAUAAGGGAUGCUCAACCUGUAGUCUUUCUUUUAGGAGGGGGGGGAAAAAAGCUUUUUUUUUUUUUUGGUGACAGAGUCAUGCUGUUGUCACCUGGGCUGGAGUGCAGUGGUGCAAUCUGGGCUCACUGCCACCUCUGCCUCCCGGGUUCCAGCAAUUCUCCUGCCUCAGCCUCCCGAGUAGCUGAGAUUACAGACACCUGCCACUACGACGGGCUAAUUUUUGUAUUUUUAGUAGAGACUUGGUUUCACCAUGUUGGCCA
RNAcentral lists this long non-coding RNA (2278 nucleotides) under Pan troglodytes (chimpanzee). RNAcentral's name for it is "long non-coding RNA NONPTRT006289". The record is from RNAcentral. Lineage: Eukaryota; Metazoa; Chordata; Mammalia; Primates; Hominidae.